UUGGUUAAGUUAGAAAGGGCGCACGGUGGAUGCCUUGGCACUAGGAGCCGAAGAAGGACGGGACUAACACCGAUAUGCUUUGGGGAGCUGUACGUAAGCGUUGAUCCAGAGAUUUCCGAAUGGGGGAACCCACUAUCUUUAGUCGGAUAGUAUCCUUACGUGAAUACAUAGCGUGAGGAAGGCAGACCCAGGGAACUGAAACAUCUAAGUACCUGGAGGAAGAGAAAGAAAAAUCGAUUUCCUGAGUAGCGGCGAGCGAAACGGAAAGAGCCCAAACCAAGAAGCUUGCUUCUUGGGGUUGUAGGACACUCUAUACGGAGUUACAAAAGAAAGUUAUAAAUGAAGCGGUCUGGAAAGGCCCGCCAAAGACGGUAACAGCCCGGUAGUUGAAAUGGCUUUCCCUCCAGAGUGGAUCCUGAGUACGGCGGAACACGUGAAAUUCCGUCGGAAUCCGGGAGGACCAUCUCCCAAGGCUAAAUACUCCCUAGUGACCGAUAGUGAACCAGUACCGUGAGGGAAAGGUGAAAAGCACCCCGGAAGGGGAGUGAAACAGUUCCUGAAACCGUGUGCCUACAAGUAGUUAGAGCCCGUUAAUGGGUGAUAGCGUGCCUUUUGUAGAAUGAACCGGCGAGUUACGAUUUGUUGCAAGGUUAAGCGGAAAAAGCGGAGCCGUAGCGAAAGCGAGUCUGAAUAGGGCGCAUAAGUAACAGGUCGUAGACCCGAAACCAGGUGAUCUACCCAUGUCCAGGAUGAAGGUAAGGUAAUACUUACUGGAGGUCCGAACCCACGCACGUUGAAAAGUGCGGGGAUGAGGUGUGGGUAGCGGAGAAAUUCCAAUCGAACUUGGAGAUAGCU
RNAcentral lists this ribosomal RNA (855 nucleotides) under Listeria innocua. RNAcentral describes it as "partial 23S ribosomal RNA". It matches the Rfam family "Bacterial large subunit ribosomal RNA", at positions 1 to 850 of the family's 2925-position model. The record is from RNAcentral. Lineage: Bacteria; Bacillati; Bacillota; Bacilli; Caryophanales; Listeriaceae.